GACGAACGCUGGCGGCGUGCUUAACACAUGCAAGUCGUACGGUAAGGCCCUUUCGGGGGUACACGAGUGGCGCACGGGUGAGUAACACGUGAGUAACCUGCCCACAACUUUGGGAUAACGCUAGGAAACUGGUGCUAAUACUGGAUAUGUGCUCCUGCUGCAUGGUGGGGGUUGGAAAGCUCCGGCGGUUGUGGAUGGACUCGCGGCCUAUCAGCUUGUUGGUGGGGUAGUGGCCUACCAAGGCGGCGACGGGUAGCCGGCCUGAGAGGGUGACCGGCCACAUUGGGACUGAGAUACGGCCCAGACUCCGACGGGAGGCAGCAGUGGGGAAUAUUGCACAAGGGGCGCAAGCCGGAUGCAGCAACGCCGCGUGCGGGAUGACGGCCUUCGGGUUGUAAACCGCUUUCAGCAGGGACGAAGCUUUUUGUGACGGUACCUGCAGAAGAAGCACCGGCUAACUACGUG
This 465-nucleotide ribosomal RNA is filed under the name uncultured bacterium. RNAcentral's name for it is "partial 16S ribosomal RNA". It matches the Rfam family "Bacterial small subunit ribosomal RNA", at positions 28 to 507 of the family's 1533-position model. The record is from RNAcentral.